CUGGCGGCAUGCUUAACACAUGCAAGUCGAACGAACUCUUCGGAGUUAGUGGCAGACGGGUGAGUAACGCGUGGGAACCUACCUUUAGGUACGGAAUAACAGUUAGAAAUGACUGCUAAUACCGUAUGUGCCCGAGAGGGGAAAGAUUUAUCGCCUAAAGAUGGGCCCGCGUUGGAUUAGCUAGUUGGUGAGGUAACGGCUCACCAAGGCGACGAUCCAUAGCUGGUCUUAGAGGAUGAUCAGCCACACUGG
This 252-nucleotide ribosomal RNA is filed under the name Alexandrium margalefii. RNAcentral's name for it is "partial Bacterial small subunit ribosomal RNA". It matches the Rfam family "Bacterial small subunit ribosomal RNA", at positions 36 to 316 of the family's 1533-position model. Lineage: Eukaryota; Dinophyceae; Gonyaulacales; Pyrocystaceae. The record is from RNAcentral.